Molecule: ribosomal RNA, 315 nt
Filed under: uncultured eukaryote
Lineage: Eukaryota
Description: partial 18S ribosomal RNA
Rfam family: Eukaryotic small subunit ribosomal RNA
Source: RNAcentral
CCCUUAGACGUUCUGGGCCGCACGCGCGCUACACUGACCAGUGCAACAAGCAUCCGUCCUUGGCCGACAGGCCCGGGCAAUCUUUGAACGCUGGUCGUGAUGGUGAUAGACUUUUGCAAUUUUUGGUCUUCAACGAGGAAUUCCUAGUAAACGCAAGUCAUCAACUUGCAUUGAUUACGUCCCUGCCCUUUGUACACACCGCCCGUCGCACCUACCGAUUGAAUGGUCCGGUGAAGCCUCCGGAUUGGCGCGCACCUCGGUGCCGCCGAGAAGUUGGCUAAACCUUACCAUUUAGAGGAAGGUGAAGUCGUAACA